CCAAAAGAGUAGCCAACGGAUUUUUCUUCCCGAUGAUGUAAGGGUGCCUCUCGUUGUAGGGAAGAGAGGCGGCCUCCGACGCGUAGCAGCCCUUGGUCAUCCAAGAAGGGCCUCAAGGCGAUGAGGGUCGAGGAUCGCCGUACCUUUUUGUGCUGCCGGAGCUGGUCGACCUCUGCGUGGAAGUUGAACUUCUGAGCUAGGCCGAUAGCGAUCCGUAGAGCAGCGUCUCGCUCCGAAGCCCGGAUAAACCCGGUUUCGGUCUUCAGCUUCCUUGUAGAUUUGUACUCGGCCCCGCUCCAAGUCCGCCUGCUCGACCUUUCCUAGUGGUGAUGCAGGCCACAGAUCUGGGGGGUCGAUGAGCUAGGAGGGUCCCCUCCACCAAAGCUGCGACGACAGGAGCUCCGACAGUGUUAUCCCUCUUCUUGCCAUUCCGCAGGGUUGUGUUUGGUAGCCACGUGUCUCCAAUUUUGAGGCGGAACAUUGGACUGCACGGUGGCUACUCUGUGGGUAACAAACGGCUUUCAGGUUGAGGCAUGCCCUUGGAUCCAGUGGAGGGUAACGCUGGAGUCCGUCCAAGCCGUGAUGGUUGCUGACGUGGUAUGCUAACUGCUUUGACCGGAGCGACCUUAGUUUUUGCCACAAGCAGUGUGGCCACGCUGACUUCUCCCCUGGACACUCGCAGGUAGACGACGGCUGCAUAGGCUCGCUGGGAGGCAUCGCAGAACCCGUGCAGAUCCAGUUGCGCCGAGUUUGCUGAGUAGUUCGUCCAGCGAGGAAUGGCCAAAGUGUCGAGUUGGCUCAGCGUCUUCCGGAAGGUUUUCCAUGCGGAAAGCAGUUGCUCAGGGGCCGCCCAUCCCAAGGGGUCGAAGAGACUGGCUACUUCCGAGAGGAUACGCCUUUUAGUGUAUCGCGUGGGCUCUUUGAGGGGUGGAAGGACACGUAAGGAGAAGGUAUCAGUGGUUGACCUCCAGACGACUCCCAAGG
Osmia lignaria (orchard mason bee) is the source of this 984-nucleotide non-coding RNA. The record is from RefSeq and is a predicted model, not a curated record. NCBI's taxonomy places the organism in Eukaryota, Metazoa, Arthropoda, Insecta, Hymenoptera, Megachilidae.